Long non-coding RNA from Ipomoea triloba (trilobed morning glory), 797 nucleotides. RefSeq lists it as uncharacterized. The record is from RefSeq and is a predicted model, not a curated record. NCBI's taxonomy places the organism in Eukaryota, Viridiplantae, Streptophyta, Magnoliopsida, Solanales, Convolvulaceae. The transcript is spliced from 3 exons.
GUUCUCAGAACAUCAAAGGCAGCUACUUUGGGUGGAAGCACACACCUUUGAUGGCAGAGAUUUCAAUGUCAAGUAUGGAGAAUUCAACGUUAUCAAAUUAAAGGAUUGGCAAUUCUCAAGGGAAGUGAAACAAUCACUAAAUUCAACAUUGCCAAUUGCUACCUAUUGGAUUGCAUGAAGUGUUCUUACUAAUGCAAUAUGUUUUAUCCAUCGAUUAAUCUCUUUGCUAGCUUGACAGUUGAUUUCAUGUCCCAAAAUCAGAUAAUAACGGAACUGUCCAAUUUAACCGCCUAAAUCAAAGAUAUAUAAUCACUGCUUGCUACCCACUACUAGAGAAUUGGAGAAGAGAGCAGAGGAAUCUUAUAAAGCAUAUUUGCUCGUUUCAAACAAUUAUUCUGGUGAAAGUUUAAGAGUUAAUACUGAAGACAAAAUAUUGAGAAGUCAAUUUAUGAUUGAUAAGAACUAAUGAGAAGAUUGGUUUUCUCAUUAUCUUCAGGGCAAUAUAUGAGUGAGUGAUUGAAUUUUAAUUUUUCUCUAUCAUGGAUGCAUUGAAUUCCAGUGAAUGAAUGAUUGAACUCCAGAGAAUACACAUUACAUUAGUUUAAAAUUUCUUAUGAAUGACUCAUAUAUGACCAAAAAACCAUGGAAGUGUUGGAGAAAAACAAAUUCUCUCUCAUUAUUUGCUACAUAUUUAGUCCGAAUGUUUUAAGGAGAUAUUUGUAAUUUACUCUUGUAAUUAAUAUUAUUCAUUGUAUUAUGUAAAUCAGUGUAUUUAUUAGCAUAUAUAAUACCUUAUU